CAGUCUUGAGGAUCUUUAAGAGCAGAACAAUGUACUUGUUUUUGAUUGAUGAAUGAGAAUCAUUUUCUCUCAAAUCUAUAAUUGUUUUCUGAUCAAAAAAAUUCUCAGAGGAAGACUACUGCGAACUUAGCUAGCCGGAAACAAGCUGAAGAGCGUGUUGAGAGACCAGUAGUGCGGAUUCAAGCCAUGUUCCGUCCGAAGAAGGCACAGGAAGAAUAUCGAAGGAUCAAAUUGACCCAUAACCAAGCAGGCUGUCUCAAAGAUGAUACUCUGGUAACUCGCCACCCUUUUAUUGGUCAGAAUUUUGGAAAUGAAAGCCAA
Molecule: unclassified non-coding RNA, 321 nt
Filed under: Hevea brasiliensis (rubber tree)
Lineage: Eukaryota; Viridiplantae; Streptophyta; Magnoliopsida; Malpighiales; Euphorbiaceae
Source: RNAcentral